AUACGGAGAGUGCAAGCGUUGUUCGGAAUUACUGGGCGUAAAGCGCGCGUAGGCGGUCUGUUAUGUCAGAUGUGAAAGUCCUCGGCUCAACCGGGGAAGUGCAUUUGAAACUGGCAGACUUGAGUACUGGAGGGGGUGGUGGAAUUCCCGGUGUAGAGGUGAAAUUCGUAGAUAUCGGGAGGAAUACCGGUGGCGAAGGCGAUCACCUGGCCAGAUACUGACGCUGAGGUGCGAAAGCGUGGGGAGCAAACAGGAUUAGAAACCCCGGUAGUCC
This 274-nucleotide ribosomal RNA is filed under the name uncultured bacterium. RNAcentral's name for it is "partial 16S ribosomal RNA". It matches the Rfam family "Bacterial small subunit ribosomal RNA", at positions 523 to 796 of the family's 1533-position model. The record is from RNAcentral.